UACGGAGGAUCCGAGCGUUAUCCGGAUUUAUUGGGUUUAAAGGGUGCGCAGGCGGAAGAUUAAGUCGGUGGUGAAAUUUUGCAGCUCAACUGUAAAAGUGCCAUUGAUACUGGUUUUCUUGAGUGUGGAUGAAGUAGGCGGAAUUUGUGGUGUAGCGGUGAAAUGCAUAGAUAUCACGAGGAACUCCGAUUGCGCAGGCAGCUUACUAAACCAUAACUGACGCUCAGGCACGAAGGCGUGGGGAUCAAACAGGAUUAGAUA
RNAcentral lists this ribosomal RNA (261 nucleotides) under uncultured prokaryote. RNAcentral's name for it is "partial 16S ribosomal RNA". It matches the Rfam family "Bacterial small subunit ribosomal RNA", at positions 524 to 784 of the family's 1533-position model. The record is from RNAcentral.